GUGCAAGCGUUAUCCGGAUUCACUGGGUUUAAAGGGUGCGUAGGCGGGCAGGUAAGUCCGUUGUGAAAUCUCUGAGCUUAACUCAGAAACUGCCAUGGAUACUAUUUGUCUUGAAUAUUGUGGAGGUAAGCGGAAUAUGUCAUGUAGCGGUGAAAUGCUUAGAUAUGACAUAGAACACCAAUUGCGAAGGCAGCUUACUACACAGUUAUUGACGCUGAGGCACGAAAGCGUGGGGAUCAAACAGG
This 245-nucleotide ribosomal RNA is filed under the name uncultured bacterium. Its description in RNAcentral is "partial 16S ribosomal RNA". It matches the Rfam family "Bacterial small subunit ribosomal RNA", at positions 532 to 776 of the family's 1533-position model. The record is from RNAcentral.